CCUACGGGUGGCUGCAGUGGGGAAUAUUGGGCAAUGGGCGCAAGCCUGACCCAGCAACGCCGCGUGAAGGAAGAAGGCUUUCGGGUUGUAAACUUCUUUUAAGAGAGAAGAGCAGAAGACGGUACCUCUUGAAUAAUCCACGGCUAACUACGUGCCAGCAGCCGCGUUAAUACGUAGGUGGCAAGCGUUGUCCGGAUUUACUGGGUGUAAAGGGCGUGUAGCCGGGCUGGCAAGUCAGAUGUAAAAUUCGGGGGCUCAACCGCGGACCUGCAUUUGAAACUGGUCGUCUGGAUUAUCGGCGAGGUAGGAGGAAUUCGUGGUGAAGCGGGGAAAUGCUUAGAUAUCAGGAAGAACUCCGAUGGGGAAGGCGGCUGACUAAAC
RNAcentral lists this ribosomal RNA (381 nucleotides) under uncultured bacterium. RNAcentral's name for it is "partial 16S ribosomal RNA". It matches the Rfam family "Bacterial small subunit ribosomal RNA", at positions 338 to 734 of the family's 1533-position model. The record is from RNAcentral.